UCGGGAAUUUUGCGCAAUGGACGAAAGUCUGACGCAGCAACGCCGCGUGAGGGAUGACGGCCUUCGGGUUGUAAACCUCUUUUGUCAGGGACGAUGAUGACGGUACCUGGCGAAUAAGCCACGGCUAACUACGUGCCAGCAGCCGCGGUAAUACGUAGGUGGCAAGCGUUGUCCGGAUUUACUGGGCGUAAAGAGCGCGCAGGCGGUCGUUCAAGUCGCGUGUGAAAGCCCCCGGCUCAACUGGGGAGGGUCACGCGAUACUGAUCGACUCGAAGGCAGGCGAGGGUAGUGGAAUUCCCGGUGUAGUGGUGAAAUGCGUAGAUAUCGGGAGGAACACCAGUGGCGAAGGCGACUACCUGGCCUGUUCUUGACGCUGAGGCGCGAAAGCUAGGGGAGCAAACGGG
This 404-nucleotide ribosomal RNA is filed under the name Fusobacteriota bacterium. RNAcentral's name for it is "Fusobacteria bacterium partial 16S ribosomal RNA". It matches the Rfam family "Bacterial small subunit ribosomal RNA", at positions 355 to 776 of the family's 1533-position model. The record is from RNAcentral. Lineage: Bacteria; Fusobacteriati; Fusobacteriota.